RNA transcript from Dromaius novaehollandiae (emu), 363 nucleotides. RefSeq lists it as uncharacterized. The transcript is spliced from 3 exons. The record is from RefSeq and is a predicted model, not a curated record. NCBI's taxonomy places the organism in Eukaryota, Metazoa, Chordata, Aves, Casuariiformes, Dromaiidae.
CGGGGAGCGGCUGAUUUCCUCUGUUUGUGGGUGUAACCCAGAUCAGGAUUUCUUCUUGUACCUGUGCUUUUUGGCCUUUGUAAGAGACCGAGAAGAUGGUGAAUGUUCUCAAAGGUGUUCUAAUUGAAUGUGAGGUGGGAUCUGAUGCAUAUUUGUCUCUACAGUGACCCAGCAAUGAAGCAGUUUCUGCUCUACUUGGAUGAGUCAAAUGCCUUGGGGAAGAAGUUCAUCAUACAAGACCUGGAUGAAACUCAUGUCUUUGUAUUAGCUGAGCUGGUUAACUUUCUCCAGGAGAGAGUGGGCGAGUUAAUGGACCAGAACUCUUUUCCUAUUACUCAGAAGUAAAGUCUAGAGAAAUGAGAU